GUGCUUCUAAAUUUAUUAAAAUUUUUCUUUUGAUAUUCUAAAAAAAAAAAAAAAAAAAAA
RNAcentral lists this non-coding RNA (60 nucleotides) under uncultured Vexilliferidae. Lineage: Eukaryota; Discosea; Flabellinia; Dactylopodida; Vexilliferidae. The record is from RNAcentral.